This 497-nucleotide ribosomal RNA is filed under the name uncultured bacterium. Its description in RNAcentral is "partial 16S ribosomal RNA". It matches the Rfam family "Bacterial small subunit ribosomal RNA", at positions 28 to 507 of the family's 1533-position model. The record is from RNAcentral.
GAUGAACGCUGGCGGCGUGCCUAAUACAUGCAAGUCGAGCGAACGGACGAGAAGCUUGCUUUUCUGAUGUUAGCGGCGGACGGGUGAGUAACACGUGGAUAACCUACCUAUAAGACUGGGAUAACUUCGGGAAACCGGAGCUAAUACCGGAUAAUAUUUUGAACCGCAUGGUUCAAAAGUGAAAGACGGUCUUGCUGUCACUUAUAGAUGGAUCCGCGCUGCAUUAGCUAGUUGGUAAGGUAACGGCUUACCAAGGCAACGAUGCAUAGCCGACCUGAGAGGGUGAUCGGCCACACUGGCACUGAGACACGGUCCAGACUCCUACGGGAGGCAGCAGUAGGGAAUCUUCCGCAAUGGGCGAAAGCCUGACGGAGCAACGCCGCGUGAGUGAUGAAGGUCUUCGGAUCGUAAAACUCUGUUAUUAGGGAAGAACAUAUGUGUAAGUAACUGUGCACAUCUUGACGGUACCUAAUCAGAAAGCCACGGCUAACUACGUG